GCAUUUUGAUAUGUCAAUCCAUAUCAGUUCUCUGAUGCGUGCAUGCAGAGACUCCCGGCAUCAGUGCAUCCAUGUCUCACAUUGCAGAAUAAGUAGCUAAUACCUGACACCGAGGAGGAUGAGACAGGCCAAGCAAAACUGAUCAGGGGUGCAAAGUGGAAAUGGAGUUGCAGGGCUCCAAAGAGGACCCAAAGUGGGUACAUAGGCACAGAGUGGUGGUAAUCUCCAUGUGAAUAGAUGUUAUAGGGGGAUGAGUGCAAGGGGUGCCUCACGGCCCAACAUCAAGAAAAUCAUGUCUACCUUUUCUCAACCCUUCUGCUUUGUACCCAGGUUCUUCUAGCUGAAACUGGAAAACCAGUGCCGUGGCCUUUAAAUGAAGAACAUCCAAAGUUAACCCCGCAGACAAUAAGGAGGGACCAUCUGUGAGGACCCCAGGCUGCUUGGGCUGCAGCCUCCCACCAGGUUUCAAACAUGCUCCCCCAAGUGUGGACUGAGAGAUGCACUGAGUGGAAAGUCACAGUUCAAUACAGUCUGUGGUCAAGGUGUCUGUGCUCAAGUGCAGCUGGUGCAGUCAGGAUCAGAGCUGAAGAGACCUGGGGAGUCUUUGGGGAACUCCUGUAAGUUAUCUGGGUACAGCUUUACUAGGAAUUGGAUCCACUGGAUUAAGCAAAUCCCUGGAAAGGGUUUGGAAUGGAUAGGAAUGAUUUAUCCCGGUGAAUCUGAUCCCAGGUACAACCCAUCCUUCCCAGGAAAAGUCACCAUCUCCACAGACAACUCCAUCAGCACCAUGUACCUGCAGUGGAGCAGCCUGAGGGACUCAGACACAGCCAUGUAUUACUGUGCAAGAGACACAGUGAGCGAAACCCCUUCCUGAGAGGGGCAGAAACCCUCAGCCUGAUGCAGCUGCAGAGCAGGAGUCUCAGAGGCACCUCUCAGUUCAGCACCAGAGGACAUAGUGUCUGCUGUCUCCUAGAGAGUGAGAACAAGAACACAGGCCACUGACAUGACAGGGAGACAUCUCCCCACGUGGGGACACUGAUGCCUCUGACUGGGUUGGGUUCUCUGGAGUGGCCCUCUGUGUAACUACUGAUUAACCGCAGGGAUAUAGAGCAGAUGACGUAAGGUUUCUUCAUGAAAUUCUCAGAGUUCAGCCCUUGCUUCCCUUCAAGAAUGAGCAGGUGCGUUGUCAUAAUAGAAAAAAAAAAUUCCCCAGCUCAAAUUUCGUAGCCGUUUCCUCACCAAGGCCAUUCCCAAUAUUACUAGAACGUCUUCCUUAUAAGUAGCCAUGAUCUUUGCUUGCUUUCUGACUUGAUUCAGUUGCCUGCAUUGAACUUGAUUCAGGAAACAGCUUUGUAGAAACUUCCUGGUGGAGUGGUGGCGCUGUGGCAUUCGCCAACUGCUCGUGGAUCCCAGACCUUAUACCAGUCAGGUACACAUGAGGAAGAACAUGGCAUCAGGCCUGGAGAAAGGCUUCUUAACAACCAGUGAUGUGAAGAUAAUACACUCUUGCUGCUGAAAGUGAGGACUUGAAACCCUUGCUGCUGAUGAUCAGGGAUUGCAGAGGUCAUUAUGUAUUAUGAUUCAAUGUAAAGAAGACCAAACAAUGCAGGCCGGAGUCCAAUUCUGUUGUUGUUUAUGAGUACUUUUCAUUUUGAACUGACUUUAAAAAGUAAGCAUACUUCAUGAAGACUCCAGACACCCACCUUCCUCCCAGCUCCGCUCACAACAGGCUACCAGGAAGAGCAUUCACUCUCUCUCCCAAUAGCUCAAGUCAAAGCAAAACAAAAAGUGUUACAUGACUCAGUCUUUAUAUAGUGGCCUUGAUAUUGCCUUGUCUGUUUGAGCCAAAUGUAGUAAAGUUCAAAGGAUUGGAAUUUUCUUUUAAUUUUCAGAAUCCUCAUGUAUUUAAACUCUGAAAAUUGUCUUUCAUUGUGGGACUUUGUGAUUCCUUACAGUUAUUAUUGUCCAUUCCUAGAUUGUUUUCUUCCUUCAAUAAACUCUUGAAUUUUAA
This is a long non-coding RNA of Echinops telfairi (small Madagascar hedgehog), 2011 nucleotides long. RefSeq lists it as uncharacterized. The record is from RefSeq and is a predicted model, not a curated record. NCBI's taxonomy places the organism in Eukaryota, Metazoa, Chordata, Mammalia, Afrosoricida, Tenrecidae. The transcript has 3 exons.